Molecule: transfer RNA, 76 nt
Filed under: Nitrososphaerota archaeon
Lineage: Archaea; Thermoproteati; Nitrososphaerota
Description: Thaumarchaeota archaeon tRNA-Val
Rfam family: tRNA
About the family: Transfer RNA (tRNA) molecules are approximately 80 nucleotides in length. Their secondary structure includes four short double-helical elements and three loops (D, anti-codon, and T loops).
Source: RNAcentral
GGGGCUAUCGUCUAGCUUGGUCCAGGAUACCAUCUCAACACGCUGGCGGUCGUGGGUUCAAAUCCCACUGGCCCCA